UGGGGNGUGGCCAAGUGGUAAGGCAACGGGUUUUGGGCCCGGNAUUCGAAGGUUCGAAUCCUUCCGUCCCAG
This 72-nucleotide transfer RNA is filed under the name Asclepias atroviolacea. Its description in RNAcentral is "tRNA-Gln". It matches the Rfam family "tRNA". Rfam says of the family: Transfer RNA (tRNA) molecules are approximately 80 nucleotides in length. The record is from RNAcentral. Lineage: Eukaryota; Viridiplantae; Streptophyta; Magnoliopsida; Gentianales; Apocynaceae.